This 501-nucleotide long non-coding RNA is filed under the name Gossypium raimondii (Peruvian cotton). RNAcentral's name for it is "long non-coding RNA (GRAI_LNC005044)". Lineage: Eukaryota; Viridiplantae; Streptophyta; Magnoliopsida; Malvales; Malvaceae. The record is from RNAcentral.
AUGGGUGGGUGAAAAAUUUCCUCUAACUUUCAAAUUUACCCUCAUUUCUUUCUCACGUCUAAAGCAUUUUUCUCUUUUCUCAUUCUUCUUCCCAAUUCCUCCCAACAUUAUCUCCCUUUUUUUCAUGCUUCUAUCCUCACCAACUUGAUCUCCCUUUGACAAAAUCUAGUUCAGCAAAAUCUAGGUCGGAGAGGUAAAUUGAUCAUAUUUUAUUUAUUUUAGAUUUUAUAAGUUUUUUUUUUCUGAGUGAAAAAUCUGAUUAAGUAAUUACCAAUUUUAAGAUUUUAUUUUUUUGAGAUCAUUGAGAAAUAAAUAAAAAUAGAAAAACAGAGACAUAUAUAUUUUAAAUUUUGUUGAUUUAUAUUUUCAUGUUUAUUUUGUGAAUAUCAAAUUUUUUUUGGGGGCAGAUUAACGGAGAGGAUUUUUGACGUAGAAAUUGGGAAAUUGAGAUUGAAAUUGGAAUUAAAAACCUUCCUCAGCAGCUAAGGAGGGAGGGAUAGG